AUAUAAAUGCUCGAUGUAAGAACGGAAAGUUUAUCAUUUGAGUGAUUUUUUGUGAAAAAAACAUGUUCAAAGUCUUUCUGUUUGCUGUCCUUGCAGUGGCUUUUGCCUUUCUGCUCGAGGAUUUCGGGUGCUUUCCAGCAGCUUCUGCCCAUCCAGUAGACGUGAGCGAUGUCACUAAAUACACUUAUAUGGUAAAGGGACUUCUUGGUAAAGUUACUGGCGACGAUCGAAAGUAAUUCCUCCAACGAUGCGGCGUCUGGCAAAGUGAUUCACUAAAUAUGAAUAAUAAAAUUCCUAGCAAAGUGAUUGAGUUUUGUUUCACUG
Phlebotomus argentipes is the source of this 324-nucleotide long non-coding RNA. RefSeq lists it as uncharacterized. NCBI's taxonomy places the organism in Eukaryota, Metazoa, Arthropoda, Insecta, Diptera, Psychodidae. The record is from RefSeq and is a predicted model, not a curated record. The transcript has 4 exons.